This 445-nucleotide ribosomal RNA is filed under the name Salmonella enterica. RNAcentral's name for it is "partial 23S ribosomal RNA". It matches the Rfam family "Bacterial large subunit ribosomal RNA", at positions 747 to 1190 of the family's 2925-position model. Lineage: Bacteria; Pseudomonadati; Pseudomonadota; Gammaproteobacteria; Enterobacterales; Enterobacteriaceae. RNAcentral also lists the same sequence under 3 other names. The record is from RNAcentral.
GAAGGUUGGGUAACACUAACUGGAGGACCGAACCGACUAAUGUUGAAAAAUUAGCGGAUGACCUGUGGCUGGGGGUGAAAGGCCAAUCAAACCGGGAGAUAGCUGGUUCUCCCCGAAAGCUAUUUAGGUAGCGCCUCGUGAAUUCAUCUCCGGGGGUAGAGCACUGUUUCGGCUAGGGGGCCAUCCCGGCUUACCAACCCGAUGCAAACUGCGAAUACCGGAGAAUGUUAUCACGGGAGACACACGGCGGGUGCUAACGUCCGUCGUGAAGAGGGAAACAACCCAGACCGCCAGCUAAGGUCCCAAAGUCAUGGUUAAGUGGGAAACGAUGUGGGAAGGCCCAGACAGCCAGGAUGUUGGCUUAGAAGCAGCCAUCAUUUAAAGAAAGCGUAAUAGCUCACUGGUCGAGUCGGCCUGCGCGGAAGAUGUAACGGGGCUAAACCAU